RNAcentral lists this ribosomal RNA (639 nucleotides) under Griseoporia carbonaria. RNAcentral's name for it is "eukaryotic LSU rRNA". The stretch from base 235 to 388 matches the Rfam family "5.8S ribosomal RNA". Lineage: Eukaryota; Fungi; Basidiomycota; Agaricomycetes; Gloeophyllales; Gloeophyllaceae. The record is from RNAcentral.
GAGGAAGUAAAAGUCGUAACAAGGUUUCCGUAGGUGAACCUGCGGAAGGAUCAUUAACGAGUAAACAAGGGGAGUUGUAGCUGGCCGCAAGGCAUGUGCACGCUCCCUGCUCAAUCCAACCUUACACCUGUGCAUCCAUUGUAGGGUGGGACGGCCCUCAUCGGGCUGUCCUUUCCUAUGUUUCACACAUACACUUAUAGUCUUAGAAUGUCAUUUGCUUAAACGCAUAAUAACAACUUUCAACAACGGAUCUCUUGGCUCUCGCAUCGAUGAAGAACGCAGCGAAAUGCGAUAAGUAAUGUGAAUUGCAGAAUUCAGUGAAUCAUCGAAUCUUUGAACGCACCUUGCGCUCCUUGGUAUUCCGAGGAGCAUGCCUGUUUGAGUGUCAUGAAAUUCUCAACUCGCUCACCUUUAUUGGUGAAUGAGCUUGGAUUUGGAGGAUCUUUUUGCAGGCUCCUUUGGAGUCGGCUCCUCUCUAAAUGCAUUAGCUGGACCCGUUGCGGACCGGUGCUCGGUGUGAUAAUUGUCUACGCCGUCUCUGGAAAGCGCCUUAGUGGACAGGCUUCUAAUCGUCUUCGGACAAUCAAUGACAUUUUGACCUCAAAUCAGGUAGGAUUACCCGCUGAACUUAAGCAUAUC